CAAUACAACUGGUGGCGACCGGCGCGACGGGUGAGUAACGCGUAUGCAACCUACCUAUCAGAGGGGAAGUAACCCGGCGAAAGUCGGACUAAUACCGCAUAAAACAGGGGCACCGCAUGGUGAUAUUUGUUAAAGAAAUUCGCUGAUAGAUGGGCAUGCGUUCCAUUAGGUAGUUGGUGAGGUAACGGCUCACCAAGCCGACGAUGGAUAGGGGAACUGAGAGGUUGGUCCCCCACACUGGUACUGAGACACGGACCAGACUCCUACGGGAGGCAGCAGUGAGGAAUAUUGGUCAAUGGGCGGGAGCCUGAACCAGCCAAGUCGCGUGAAAGGAAGAAGGAUCUAUGGUUCGUAAACUUCUUUUGCAGGGGAAUAAAGUGCAGGACGUGUCCUGUUUUGUAUGUACCCUGAGAAUAAGGAUCGGCUAACUCCGUGCCAGCCGCAGC
This 446-nucleotide ribosomal RNA is filed under the name uncultured bacterium. RNAcentral's name for it is "bacterial SSU rRNA". It matches the Rfam family "Bacterial small subunit ribosomal RNA", at positions 75 to 518 of the family's 1533-position model. The record is from RNAcentral.